GACGAACCACCCAAACGUUAUUCGGAAUCACUGGGCUUAAAGGGUGCGUAGGCGGUCUCGAAAGUCAGGUGUGAAAUCCCACAGCUCAACUGUGGAACUGCGCUUAAAACUACGAGGCUAGAGGGAGAUAGAGGUGAGCAGAACUGAUGGUGGAGCGGUGAAAUGCGUUGAUAUCAUCAGGAAUACCGGAGGCGAAGGCGGCUCACUGGGUCUCUUCUGACGCUGAAGCACGAAAGCUAGGGGAGCGAACGGGAUUAGAAACCCCCGUAGUCC
RNAcentral lists this ribosomal RNA (273 nucleotides) under uncultured bacterium. RNAcentral describes it as "partial 16S ribosomal RNA". It matches the Rfam family "Bacterial small subunit ribosomal RNA", at positions 524 to 796 of the family's 1533-position model. The record is from RNAcentral.